GACGAACGCUGGCGGCGUGCUUAACACAUGCAAGUCGAACGAUGAAGCUGGAGCUUGCUCUGGCGGAUUAGUGGCGAACGGGUGAGUAACACGUGAGAAAUCUGCCCUUGACUCUGGGAUAACUGCGGGAAACUGUAGCUAAUACCGGAUACUUUCCCUGGUGGGCAUCCACUGGGGAAGAAAGAAUUUCGGUCAAGGAUGAUCUCGCGGCCUAUCGACUUGUGGGUGAGGUAAUGGCUGACCAAGGCGACGGCGGGUAGCCGACCGGGGAGGUUAGACGGCCACACUGGGACUGGGACACGGCCCAGACUGCUACGGUAGGCAACAGUGGGGAAUAUUGCAGAAUGGGCGCAAGCCUGAUGCAGCAACGCCGCGUGAGGGAUGAAGGCCUUCGGGUUGUAAACCUCUUUUAGCAGAGAAGAAGCGAAAGUGACGGUACCUGCAGAAAAAGCACCGGCUAACUACGUGCCAGCCGCCGCCGUAA
Molecule: ribosomal RNA, 484 nt
Filed under: uncultured bacterium
Lineage: Bacteria
Description: partial 16S ribosomal RNA
Rfam family: Bacterial small subunit ribosomal RNA
Source: RNAcentral